CAAGAGCGUAUGUAAAAGUUGUUGCAGUUAAAAAGCUCGUAGUUGAACCUUGGGUUUGGUUGGCCGGUCCGCUUUUUUGCGAGUACUGGAUUCAACCGAGCCUCUCCUUCUGGCUAACCAGUCGUUUCGGCGGCUGGCGAACCAGGAUUUUUACUUUGAGAAAAUUAGAGUGUUCAAAGCAGGCAUUAGCUUGAAUAUAUUAGCAUGGAAUAAUAGAAUAGGACGUUAUGGUUCUAUUUUGUUGGUUUCUAGGACCAUCGUAAUGAUUAAUAGGGACGGUCGGGGGCAUCAGUAUUCAGUUGUCAGAGGUGAAAUUCUUGGAUUUACUGAAGACUAACUACUGCGAAAGCAUUUGCCAAGGACGUUUUCAUUAA
Molecule: ribosomal RNA, 374 nt
Filed under: uncultured eukaryote
Lineage: Eukaryota
Description: partial 18S ribosomal RNA
Rfam family: Eukaryotic small subunit ribosomal RNA
Source: RNAcentral